Non-coding RNA from Acanthosepion pharaonis, 113 nucleotides. NCBI's taxonomy places the organism in Eukaryota, Metazoa, Mollusca, Cephalopoda, Sepiida, Sepiidae. The record is from the annotation of a GenBank genome assembly.
UUACGGCCAUAUCACGUUGAAACACCGGAUUCUGUACGAUCACUGAAGUUAAGCAACGUCGAGCCUGGUCAGUACCUAGAUAGAUGAUUGCUUGAGAAUACCAAGUGCUGUAA